AUGAGCGCCCUCCAGGCCUCCCUCCUCCUCCGCCCUCUCCCCUCGCCCCUGCCCCCUCGUCGGCGUCCGCCACCAGCCCCCGCCUCCGUCUCCUUCCCUCGCUCCUGCCACCACCGCCGCCCGUCGCCCCCCCUCCGCGCAUUGGCCGCCGACGGCCCCCAGCCUCCCCCCUCUCCGGCCCCCGAGCCUCCCGCGGCGGCUGCGGCGGCGGCCGCUCCGGAGGCGGAGGUCGACACGGGCCCCGCUGCCCAGGACGGGAAGGAGGAGCUGGAGGACCUGGUGGAUAAGGCUAGGGUUUGGGCGGUGGCUUUCGCGGCCGCGGUGGUCGAGGCGGCCAAGAGGUUUUUCGACUGGGUGGUGUCUGGCGAUUGGAUGAGCUGGUGGCCGUUCUGGCGCCCCGACCGCCGCCUGCAGCGCUUGAUCGAUGACGCCGACGCUCACCCCAAGGACCCUGCCAAGCAGAGCGCGCUGCUCCACGAGCUCAACAAGUUUAGCCCAGAAGAUGUCAUCAAAAGAAUCGAGCAAAGAAGUCAUGCGGUAGAUAGCAAGGGGGUUGCAGAGUACCUUCGAGCUCUUAUUCUCACCAACGCUAUAGCUGAUUACCUACCAGAUGAGCUGUCUGGGCGUUCAGCAACGCUACCAGCUCUGUUGCAAGAAUUGAAGCAACGUGUAUCUGGGGAGGACAAGCCUUUCUCGAAUCCUGGGAUAUCUGACAAGCAACCAUUACAUGUAGUAAUGGUUGAUCCUAAAGCUACUGGUAGAUCAACUCGGUUUGCUCAAGAGAUUUUCUCGACUAUCUUGUUCACAGUUGCUGUUGGAUUUAUGUGGGUAAUGGGUGCUGCUGCGCUUCAAAAGUAUAUUGGUAGCCUAGGUGGAAUAGGCACAUCUGGUGUCGGUUCCAGUUCAUCAUAUUCUGCAAAAGAGUUGAAUAAGGAUAUAACGCCCGAGAAGAAUGUGAAGACAUUUAAAGAUGUCAAAGGCUGUGAUGAUGCAAAGAAAGAACUUGAGGAGGUUGUUGAGUAUCUAAGGAAUCCUAUGAAGUUUACUCGCCUCGGUGGAAAGUUACCAAAGGGAAUACUUUUAACUGGAGCUCCAGGAACUGGGAAGACGCUGCUUGCUAAGGCCAUUGCUGGGGAAGCUGGUGUGCCGUUCUUUUACCGAGCAGGUUCUGAAUUUGAGGAAAUGUUUGUUGGUGUUGGUGCUCGGAGGGUGAGAUCCUUGUUUCAAGCUGCAAAGAAAAAGGCACCAUGUAUUGUUUUCAUUGAUGAAAUAGAUGCAGUGGGAUCAACUAGAAAACAGUGGGAAGGGCACACAAAGAAAACAUUGCAUCAACUUCUUGUUGAGAUGGAUGGUUUUGAACAAAAUGAGGGAAUAAUAGUAAUGGCUGCGACAAACUUACCAGACAUUCUUGAUCCAGCACUUACGAGACCUGGUAGAUUUGAUAGACAUAUUGUUGUCCCUAGUCCUGAUGUGCGAGGCCGCCAAGAUAUUCUGGAGCUCUAUUUGCAAGACAAGCCUGUGGGCAGUGAUGUGAAUGUCAAUGCAAUAGCCCGCAGUACCCCUGGCUUUAAUGGGGCUGACCUUGCGAACCUGGUAAACAUUGCAGCAAUUAAGGCUGCUGUUGAAGGUGCUGACAAGCUGACUGCUUCACAAUUGGAGUUUGCCAAAGAUCGUAUCAUCAUGGGAACUGAGAGGAAAUCAAUGUUCAUCUCUGAUGAAUCAAGAAAGCUUACUGCCUACCAUGAAAGUGGGCAUGCUAUUGUUGCACUCAAUACCAAGGGUGCUCAUCCCAUUCACAAGGCAACUAUCCUGCCUCGUGGAUCUGCCCUUGGAAUGGUUACACAACUUCCCUCACAGGAUGAGACUUCUAUCAGCAAGAAACAACUCCUGGCACGUCUUGAUGUUUGCAUGGGCGGAAGGGUUGCUGAAGAGCUUAUAUUUGGGGAAGAAAAUGUUACUACUGGUGCCAGAAAUGAUCUUCAUACUGCAACAGAGCUCGCUCAGUAUAUGGUAUCAAACUGUGGGAUGAGUAAUGCUAUUGGUCCUGUGCAUGUAAAAGAACGACCAAGUGUUGACAUGCAAUCAAGAAUAGAUGCAGAGGUGGGCAGACUCCUAAGAGAAGCUUAUGAACGGGUGACACAUUUACUGAAGAAGCAUGAGAAGCAAUUACAUGCUUUAGCGAAUGCUCUGCUGGAGCGUGAAACUCUGACGGCAGAUGAGAUCAACAAAGUAGUUCAUCCCUGCCAAGAAGAACCACAGCUUCCCUUCCAAGAAGAAGCCUUUGCGCUAACUUAG
This 2295-nucleotide ribosomal RNA is filed under the name Triticum aestivum (bread wheat). RNAcentral's name for it is "partial small subunit ribosomal RNA". The record is from RNAcentral. Lineage: Eukaryota; Viridiplantae; Streptophyta; Magnoliopsida; Poales; Poaceae.